RNAcentral lists this transfer RNA (77 nucleotides) under Hyphomicrobium sp. RNAcentral's name for it is "tRNA-Met". It matches the Rfam family "tRNA". Rfam says of the family: Transfer RNA (tRNA) molecules are approximately 80 nucleotides in length. Their secondary structure includes four short double-helical elements and three loops (D, anti-codon, and T loops). The record is from RNAcentral. RNAcentral also lists the same sequence under 105 other names. Lineage: Bacteria; Pseudomonadati; Pseudomonadota; Alphaproteobacteria; Hyphomicrobiales; Hyphomicrobiaceae.
CGCGGGGUGGAGCAGCCCGGUAGCUCGUCAGGCUCAUAACCUGAAGGUCGUAGGUUCAAAUCCUGCCCCCGCAACCA